UACCCCAGUGUGACUAUCGGGAGCAGUGAAAUCUGCUGGAGAGAAGCCACAUGUACAUUUUUCUCAGUAAAAUGAUGACAAGAGAUCAAUUAAGGAGAAAGAAGAAUGUUAAUCCAACAUGGAAAAGGCCCACCCUAAUUGAAGAAUGGUGAACAGGAUUCUGGUCAAUGAAUUAUAGCCUCAUUUUAAAAUUCACUCAUCCAUUUGAUAAUUAAUUAUAAUGGCAUCUUACAUAAUCAUCAGAGGCUUUCUCUGAAAAAUACAUGGAGAGUUUUGUGCUAUCAUCACCAGAGCCAGCAAUUCAACCUAAAUUCUGAGUGUAAUGGAAGCCGUUAAUCACUAUCAAGUUCAUCAUUUUUUUUUCAUGGCAAGUAAUAUUCAUAUCAGUGAUUGCUAUUCCACUAAGAAAUUCUAAAUGUUUCAUAAAAAUGAAACACCACAUAAUAAGAGACUAAAUCAUAUGAAACAAAAUUUUGACUUUUGAAUGUAUCACUCAAGGCCAAUGGAUGAUAAUUUCUCUUUAUGAUUCUACAGGUAGCUCAUUUAUUUCUUUUCUCAUAUAUUUGACUUAUUAUAGGGCCCUGCAGCCCUUUCUGAGCAUCAUUAACUAUAUUUGUCGAAUCAUUAAUCUAAAAAUUAAAAGCUAUUUAAUACUUUUGUUUCAUCUGCUUAACUAAUUACACAGAAAUAAACCAAUUUUUCUAUUACUUUUCUCGGUGCCUUCUGCAUUUAUACAGCCUUAAUGCAUUGUGCAUAUGUAUAGGUCUUUCUCUUAACCCAAACCCCUGCUGUUGUUCUUUCUGCACACAUGUUAAUGACUCAUGAUCACUAUGACCUCACUAAUCUUUUACAUCUUCUACUCUAAUGACCUUGAUCAAUUCAUUCACUAUACAGAGCUUGUUGUCAUUUGGCUUUGAC
RNAcentral lists this long non-coding RNA (918 nucleotides) under Homo sapiens (human). Its description in RNAcentral is "HSALNT0093425". Lineage: Eukaryota; Metazoa; Chordata; Mammalia; Primates; Hominidae. The record is from RNAcentral.